UACGAAGGGGGCUAGCGUUGCUCGGAAUUACUGGGCGUAAAGCGCACGUAGGCGGCUUUCUAAGUCGGGGGUGAAAUCCUGGAGCUCAACUCCAGAACUGCCUUCGAUACUGGGAAGCUCGAGUCCGGAAGAGGUGAGUGGAACUCCGAGUGUAGAGGUGAAAUUCGUAGAUAUUCGGAAGAACACCAGUGGCGAAGGCGGCUCACUGGUCCGGUACUGACGCUGAGGUGCGAAAGCGUGGGGAGCAAACAGG
This 253-nucleotide ribosomal RNA is filed under the name uncultured bacterium. Its description in RNAcentral is "partial 16S ribosomal RNA". It matches the Rfam family "Bacterial small subunit ribosomal RNA", at positions 524 to 776 of the family's 1533-position model. The record is from RNAcentral.